UACGUAGGGGGCGAGCGUUGUCCGGAAUUAUUGGGCGUAAAGAGCGUGUAGGCGGUUCGGUAAGUCUGUCGUGAAAUCCUGGGGCUCAACCCCGGGCGUGCGAUGGAUACUGCCGGGCUAGAGGGUGGUAGAGGCGAGUGGAAUUCCCGGUGUAGCGGUGAAAUGCGCAGAUAUCGGGAGGAACACCAGUGGCGAAGGCGGCAUCCUGGACCGGUAUUGACGCUGAGGCGCGAAAGCUAGGGGAGCAAACGGG
Molecule: ribosomal RNA, 253 nt
Filed under: uncultured bacterium
Lineage: Bacteria
Description: partial 16S ribosomal RNA
Rfam family: Bacterial small subunit ribosomal RNA
Source: RNAcentral